Molecule: long non-coding RNA, 2132 nt
Organism: Dreissena polymorpha
Lineage: Eukaryota; Metazoa; Mollusca; Bivalvia; Myida; Dreissenidae
Exons: 9
Source: RefSeq, a predicted model, not a curated record
UUCGUCCACUGCGGAUGGUUCGGAGCACGAAGGUUUUGAGUUCAUGUUGAACCAUAAGAAGUGUGUCCUCCAUUUUGUCCAGGAGUGGUCAAAUAUAGUUGAGCUGCAUUCAGAGAAGACGUGACCAUCAAUGCUUUCCUGAAGGAGUUAUAUAUUUGUGUAAUGAGUGACCUGCAGGACUACCCGACUUUGAAAGAUGACCUUAAACCUUUUGAAACAAUUCUCAAUACUCAAAUUGGUUCUCCGGCCAACAAAAUGAAAAAGCGUUCUUCAGGCACGUUCUCGUUUUCACGGAAGCAGGUGAAGGAAUGCUUUCAAAACGCCCCAAAGAGUCGCAAACCCUUCAGACCUACAGAUGAGAUUAUAUUCAAAUUCUAUUGUGCGGACCACUCCUAUACUAAGCUCAAGUUGCCGUUGGAAACAAAAGUUGGAUCACUGUUGGAAUCUACCAUAGAGAAGCUCGGUCUCGGUGAAGACCUCAUACUCUGUGAAGUGAAAUCUACAUGAGAGCGGGUCAUUUUCAAGGACAAUGACCUCUGUGUAACCACUGGACUCAGCAUUAAUGGGCGCCUGUUUGUUACCCCCAAGGAACAUCUAAAUGCGCUGACGCCCCUCCCCGAGCAAGAGGGUCCCACAGAGAGCACAUUCUCCAGCAUCGAGGGGUUCAGUUCCCGGGAGAUGGCGUACCACCUGACCAUGUACGACUGGGAGCUCUUCACCUGCGUUCAGGAGUAUGAGCUGAUCUACCAGGUGUUUGGCCGCUACAAGUUUGCCAAGAUCAAGUUUGCGUGUAAAUACUAGGCCAACCUGGACACUUUCCUCCAGCACUUCAACCAGAUCCAGUUCUGGGUUGUCACAGAGAUGGUCCUGUGUACCAACCUUAGUAAACGGGUCUCCUUGCUGAGGAAGUUCAUCAAGCUUGCUGCACACUGCAAAGAGUUCCAGAACUUGAACAGUUUCUUUGCUAUUGGGAUGGGCCUCAGUAACAUAGCUGUCAGUCACCUGUCACAGACCUGGGAGAAACAAAGAAAGGCAGAAAAAGAUGUGUUUCAUAAAGCCAAGACAUUAUUAGUGAAAUGCUUUUUGUUAAUGAAUUUAAACCCCCUUUCCAAAAAUCCUCUUCAGUAUGACAAUUUUAUCUUACUGCGUCCAUGUUGAUAAAAAGUAUCCAAAGACUCAAUAUUUGGGACUGUGUAUAAAUGCUGUAUAAAAAUGUAUAUAAUAAAUAUAAUGUAUAGAAAAUUGCUCAGUGUGCUAUUUUUGUAUGAUUUACAUGUAUGAUAAAAUGUGUUUUGUAAAUAUUGUGUAUUUGUUUUUGUAUGAUUUACAUGUAUGAUAACAUGUGUUUUGUAAAUAUUGUGUAUUUAUCUGGAUGUAAAAUUUGUUGUUAUUAUUCAUCAUCUGCAGUAAUUAAAAUGACACAAAUGGGAAAAAAAUAUACAUACAUGUUUAAGCCAUGCAUAAUUUGUGAACUGCUAUUACUUUUAAGAAGUACAAAUAUUAAAAAAUAAAUAUGUCUGUUCUUAGAUAUGUUAUGAUUUUACUUGUCUAUUUUGUUAUGCUUGACAAUUUUCUUCAUCCCUGUAUUUAAAUCAACAUGUAUGCAUUAUGUUUGACAAAUAAUAAAUGAAAACCAUUCAAAUAUGUAUUUGAAAUGUAGAGUCUAUAAUACAUUCACGUGGGUUGGGGAAGGUUGAAAGCAAUAUCUAAUCUUCAUUUCAUAAUGUUAAGUUCUUGCAUAUUUAAAGUGUAGUUUUUUUGUUCUUGUACAGUGAAGUUUUCAUACCAGUACAUGUUAAUGAAAAUCUAGCAUUGCAUUUCAUUACACUUGUUUGUAAAAGUUGUUUAUGUCUGUCAUAUUUUGUUAAGUAUUUACCUGUCCAGAGAUUAAAUGACAAAACAUGACAACGUGUGCCUUGUGAGUAUGCUACGUUGAACUUUUAUGAACAGAACAGAAAGUUUAUUCAUAUAACUUGAACAUUUCCAGUUCAUCGUUAUAUAUACAAAACUGACAAUAUAUAAGCAAUUUAUGUGUUUAUGAACAUUUAUUAUGCAGCUGACAUACACUUACGAAAACAUAUUGGCAAACUUGUAUGAGAGUUGUCACAUAUAGUUUUAUGUUAUAAAGAAUC